AAGGAGGAGCCCGCGGCCGAUUAGCUGGUUGGUAGGGUAAAAGCCUACCAAGGCAUAGAUCGGUAGCCGGCCUGAGAGGGCACACGGCCACACUGGCACUGAAACACGGGCCAGACUCCUACGGGAGGCAGCAGUGGGGAAUCUUGCACAAUGGGGGAAACCCUGAUGCAGCGACGCCGCGUGAGCGAUGAAGCCCUUCGGGGUGUAAAGCUCUUUCGGCAGGGACGAUAAUGACGGUACCUGCAGAAGCAGCUGCGGCUAACUACGUGCCAGCAGCCGCGGUAAUACGUAGGCAGCGAGCGUUGUUCGGAGUUACUGGGCGUAAAGGGUGUGUAGGCGGUUUUCUAAGUUUGGUGUGAAAUCUCCCGGCUCAACCGGGAGGGUGCGCCGAAAACUGGGAGACUAGAGUGCGGGAUGGGAGAGUAGAAUUCCUGGUGUAGCGGUGAAAUGCGUAGAUAUCAGGAGGAAUACCGGUGGUGUAGACGGCUCUCUGGACCGCCACUGACGCUGAGACACGAAAGCGUGGGUAGCAAACAGGAUUAGAUACCCUGGUAGUCCACGCCCUAAACGAUGCAUAUUUGGUGUAGGUCAUUCAGUUGAUCUGUGCCGGAGCUAACGCGUUAAAUAUGCCGCCUGGGGAGUACAGUCGCAAGGCUGAAACUCAAAGGAAUUGACGGGGGCCCGCACAAGCGGUGGAGCAUGUGGUUCAAUUCGACGCAACGCGAAGAACCUUACCUGGGCUCGAACGGCUUCCCAACGGCGGUGGAAACACCGUUACUCCGCAAGGGGGUGGAGUCGAGGUGCUGCAUGGCUGUCGUCAGCUCGUGUCGUGAGAUGUUGGGUUAAGUCCCGCAACGAGCGCAACCCUUGUCCUGUGUUGCCAUCCCGCAAGGGGGGACUCGCAGGAGACCGCC
This 914-nucleotide ribosomal RNA is filed under the name uncultured Acidobacteriota bacterium. RNAcentral's name for it is "bacterial SSU rRNA". It matches the Rfam family "Bacterial small subunit ribosomal RNA", at positions 221 to 1153 of the family's 1533-position model. The record is from RNAcentral. Lineage: Bacteria; Pseudomonadati; Acidobacteriota.